Molecule: ribosomal RNA, 249 nt
Filed under: uncultured prokaryote
Description: partial 16S rRNA
Rfam family: Bacterial small subunit ribosomal RNA
Source: RNAcentral
ACGUAGGUGGCGAGCGUUGUCCGGAAUUAUUGGGCGUAAACGGGCGCAGGGGGGAUCUUAAGUUUGGUUUUAAAGGGCGGAGCUUAAACCCGGGAUGGGAUAGAAACUGGGAUUCUUGAGGACCGGAGAGGAAAGCGGAAUUCCCCGUGUAGCGGUGAAAUGCGUAGAUAUGGGGAGGAACACCAGUGGCGAAGGCGGCUUUCUGGACGGUGUCUGACACUGAGGCGCGAAAGCCAGGGGAGCGAACGG